This 495-nucleotide long non-coding RNA is filed under the name Drosophila melanogaster (fruit fly). RNAcentral's name for it is "long non-coding RNA:CR44208 (Dmel_CR44208)". The record is from RNAcentral. Lineage: Eukaryota; Metazoa; Arthropoda; Insecta; Diptera; Drosophilidae.
AUGAAAAUCGUAGUCAUUACGAAGGAUGGAAAAACCGUUCGAAAGACUGUUCCGGAUGAGGCGGAUGGAUUCCGGAAGCCAGUCGCGCCCCAAAUCCCGGUCAAAUGAUCAGAAGCCACAGAGCUCAGUGGACAACCAGCCGAGUUAAUAACUUUAACUUUGACCACCGAAAUUAUGUUUAUCGCGAUUUAGGAAUUCAAAUCGAUUUCUAUGUUAUAUCCUGCCAGGAGAAAAUGAAGCAAAGGAUGCAUUCUAAGAGUUGAUAGCUGAUUGGUGGAAACCAAGAAUCAUUUAAAAAGAAUGCAAAAAGCAUGCAACGACAUAAUUUGAAAAUGAAGAAAACGUGCAUAUUCAUAGGAAUUUAUAUUAGUGGAUCAUAUAUAUGGGAUUACAUUCAGUAGAAAUACCCGUACGUCGAAAGAGUUAGUUAAAUAAAUUUUCAGCUAUCAAUGAUAAAAAUAUAUAAAUACUAUUUUAUACAGAGAUACAGAGAUG